ACUUGAGCAGACGUAGCAGUGUUGGUGAAGUGUGAAAGUAAUUAGGGUAUAUUAACGUUGGAAAGAGGACCGGAUCAGGGGCAGUGACCCGACUGGACUGGUAAACAAACCUCGCACGUCUCUCUCUCCUCACUCCUCACCGAGGAAGAGAGAGAGAGAGAGAGGAGUCUCAUCUCAUCCAAUCCAUCACUCCGCAUAUCUUUCAAUCUUCCAUUUCUCUGAUUAUCGAUUCUCUCACUCACCAAUCCGCUUUCAUCCACCGCCCAUUCCACACACAUAGUGAAACCGCAAUUUUUUUUGAAGUUUGAAAACCUGUUGAAUAUUUUCUCUUGCCCCUCCUGAUUUGCAGGAACAAUGGGGAAGAAAACAAAAAAGAAGAGUCGAAGUGUUGUUAAGUCGGGAGUUGCUGUACCUUUGUUGCCGAAAAGUGUUACGGAAUCGGAAAAUCCAACUAUUGAGUCUGUUGAUGAGGGGGUUUCAGUUACAAAAGAGAGAAACUCUUGUCCUCAUCUUGUUAAAGGUGUGAAAUUAGAUGUAUUGUCGGGUAAGAUUGGGUCUUCUAGAUCCAUAAGGUGUGAAGAUUGUAGGGAAGGGGCGGCUGAUAGGAGGGGUGGUAAAGGAAAAGGUAAACAUGUGAAGAAGAAAGGUGGUGUAUCAUUGGACUCCAAACCAGAUUCGAAGUCUAUAUGGGUUUGUUUGGAGUGCGGCCACUAUACCUGUGGAGGUAUGGGGUUACCAACAGCCCAUCAUUGUCAUGCUGUUGGGCAUUCAAGGAAAACCCGACAUCCAUUAAUGGUUAAUACCGAAAAACCUCAACUUUGUUGGUGUUUUCCUUGCAACAUGCUUAUUCAUGUUGAUAAAAUUGAGAAAACAGAUGAAACAAGUCAUAUUUUACCUGAUGUUGUGAAAUUGUUAAAAGGACGAUCAUCGGAAAAAUCGUUGGUGGUUAUUGAAGAUGUUUCCAUUGGGAGUGGCAGUGUUACUGCAGAAAUUAAGUCAGGAUCUCUGUCCAUAAGUGAUUCCCAUGGACAAGGUGGUUAUGUAGUUCGAGGCAUGGUUAAUCUUGGGAACACUUGUUUCUUUAAUUCAAUCAUGCAAAAUUUGCUUGCUAUGAAUAAAUUGCGGGAUGAUUUUCUAAAGAUUGAUGCCCCUGUUGGGCCACUGGUCAGUUCGUUGAAGAAGUUGUUCACCGAAACAAACCCAGAAUCUGGAUUCAGAAACAUUAUAAACCCAAGAUCCUUUUUUGGUUGUGUAUGUUCUAAGUCUCCCCAAUUUCGAGGAUAUCAGCAACAUGACAGUCACGAAUUGCUCCGUUGUCUACUGGAUGGGUUGAGUACCGAAGAACUAGCAGGAAGGAAACAGAAUGGUACUCUCAAAAGAGAUGGAACCUCUUCCAAUACUUUAGUUGAUGCCUUAUUUGGGGGUCAGAUCUCUAGUACUGUAUGCUGUAAUGAAUGCAGGCAUUCCUCAACAGUGUAUGAGCCUUUUUUAGAUCUCUCCCUUUCUGUUCCAACUAAGAAACCUCCGUCUCGGAAGGCUCCCCAAGUACCCCGAACGAAAAAGACAAAACUUCCACCAAAAAGAUUAGGAAAGUCUCGAGUCAAAGUUAGCAAGGAUACUGAUCCUUUACCCGUUCAAGAUGUACCUAGCCAAUCAUCCAGCCAUGAAUCAUCUUGCCCUGAUCAGUCUGUGAUAUCAGUAUCUGGGGAAAUGGUGGUUUCUUCUGCUGAUUCUACAGUAUUAGGCUCUGAAGAAGUAAGCAGCGCUGGCAAUAAAGAGGACUUAUCUCCACUUAAUUUGGUAACUGUUGGAGAGUCUCAACAAAUUCAAGUGCUUGACAGUGUUGCAAAUAAAACGACUGGUUCAUCAGAUGAUUUUGCAUGGUUGGAUUAUGUAGAAGCUGAAACUGUAAUAGAUGAAUAUGCUUCUAUAUCUGAGAAGGAAGAUGCACCGGAGGUACAGGACUCUGAGAACAAGGAUGAGCUUUUGGCUGUAUUUCCUGAACAAGCUAGUUGUGAAACCAGUGGUCCUGUUUGUUUCCCUCAGGAGUAUCAAAACCUAAGACCUGAUUUUUCUUCAUCAAAUGUGUGGGAAGACGAGGCUCCUAUACAAGUUCAAAAUUCAGAAGUGCUGUUACUUCCAUACAAAGAAGAAAGUUCCUCAGUCGGGGACAUCAUGGGAAGAGAGGGUGGUGAGGACUCCUCAUCUGUUUUGGGGGGUGGUCCAGAAGAAUCAGAGUUUGAUGUCUUUGGUGGCUUAUUUAAUGAACCUGAGGUUGUUGCUGGGCCUGCUCCCAGACCUUCUUCAUCCGGUGAUGUGGAAGCUGUGACCAUCAUUAGAAACAUCAGUGAAUCUGAUCCAGAUGAAGUAGAUGAUACAGAUUCUCCAGUCUCUGUAGAGAGUUGCUUGGCACAUUUUAUAAAACCCGAGCUUCUUUCUGAUGAAAAUGCUUGGCAUUGUGAGAACUGUUCAAAAAUCCUCCAACGCCAAAAGAAGAAAGCGAAAAAGCAGGCAAGAAUUCUAUCUGAUGGAAAUGUGAGUGGUAGUCAUGAUGAAUCAUGUCAUGCAUCUAACUCAUGUUCGUGUUCUCUAAAAGUCAAUAGUAGAGGAAAUGGAGAUAUUAAAAGUGACAAGAAUAUAGAAAGUUCAGUUUCACAUGUUCAGCAUGGCCCAGAGCUGCAUAAUGGUGAAUUACAGUCUUCAUCUUUUCAACAAGCUAGCAAGGAAGAAAGCUGCAAUGAUUCAGCCGCAGAUUCUUGUACUUCUGGAAAUGUCCAACGAGAUGCUCCAAUGUCAGAUAAUGAUGAUAAUGACUCAGAAGAAUGCAGCGACAAAGAGACCGAAUUAGAAAGCAUGAGAGUGAAUAGGGAUGCAACUAAGAGGGUCCUCAUUUAUAAAGCCCCACCUGUUUUGACCAUUCAUCUAAAGAGAUUCAGCCAGGAUGCUCGUGGCCGCUUAAGUAAAUUAAAUGGUCAUGUUGACUUCAGAGAAACAUUGGAUCUAAGACCCUAUAUGGACCCCAGGUGUAUAAAUGAAGAAAAGUAUGAAUACCAGUUGGUUGGUAUAGUGGAGCACUCGGGAACCAUGAGAGGGGGUCAUUAUGUUGCUUACGUUAGAGGGGGCCAGAAGAACCGAGAGAAGGUCGAUAAUAAAGAAAACGAGCAUGUGAAUUCCACAUGGUAUCAUGCGAGUGAUGCAUAUGUGCGUGAAGUUUCCCUUGAUGAAGUUCUUCGAUGUGAGGCAUACAUUUUGUUUUAUGAAAGAAAUUGAGUGGACCAUCAUCUACUUUCUAGCUAUUUUAUACAUUUAGAAGAGUGAAAGAUACAUCAUUGCAGAUUAUGACAAGAUUGUAAGACAAAUGCUGAUGAGGUUUGGGUCCAAACCUCCAUUUGGCCCAACCCACGGGUGAGGUACGCAAGCCCAAUAAAAUCCAAAAAAGUAUCGAUUUUUGUGCGUUUGGUCCAUACUGGUUCAUUUAUUUUUGGAUUGAGCUAGUAACGGGUGAAGGAGAUAUAAUCUCUAUUUCAUCUAUCAAGUGCAAACUAACAUUGUGCAAACAAAUGACAUAAUCUCUAUUUCAUCUAUCAAGUGCAAACUAACAUUGUGCAAACAAAUGACUCUUGCAGUGGAGGAGAUAUAGAUAUAAUCUCUAUUUCAUCUAUCAAGUGCAACCAAAAAAAACGUGGAUUCUUAACUCUAGAUGCUCUUAGCACAGUCUGAUCAAAUACUUUUGAAUUCGUUUAUCUGAGUAUUGAUGAAGCACAUGUUAUCACAAUAAUAGGACAAAUUAAAAUUAUUAUGGAUGAUGGUGGUCUGCAAACAUUAAAUCAUGUCAAAUAUGUACUAUAAUUAAGGAAGAAUUUGAUUUUCCUACAAACAAAUAAUUUCUCAUAUAGAUCUGAAGAAUAUAUGAACGGUCAACUAGCCCGUCCUGGUAGUUACGAGAACUAAGAGGACUAUAGAUCACACCUCUAUGUGUUUGUUUCAAGGUUUGAAAUUACAUUUUUGGGAAUACGGCAUUUUCACGUUUGUUUUAAGUUUUUAAAAUUGUUCUCGGAUAGUGUUUAUUCUAAG
RNA transcript from Vicia villosa (hairy vetch), 4074 nucleotides. It is a transcript of the gene named ubiquitin carboxyl-terminal hydrolase 2-like, with no coding region annotated. The transcript is spliced from 6 exons. NCBI's taxonomy places the organism in Eukaryota, Viridiplantae, Streptophyta, Magnoliopsida, Fabales, Fabaceae. The record is from RefSeq and is a predicted model, not a curated record.